Molecule: ribosomal RNA, 609 nt
Filed under: uncultured bacterium
Lineage: Bacteria
Description: bacterial SSU rRNA
Rfam family: Bacterial small subunit ribosomal RNA
Source: RNAcentral
CCUACGGGAGGCAGCAGUAAGGAAUAUUGGUCAAUGGACGGAAGUCUGAACCAGCCAUGCCGCGUGCAGGAUGACGGCCCUCUGGGUUGUAAACUGCUUUUAUAGGGGACGAAAAAAGGGGAUUCUUCCUCACUUGACGGUACCCUAGGAAUAAGCACCGGCUAACUCCGUGCCAGCAGCCGCGGUAAUACGGAGGGUGCAAGCGUUAUCCGGAUUUACUGGGUUUAAAGGGUGCGUAGGUGGGUCGGUAAGUCAGCGGUGAAAUCUUCGAGCUUAACUCGGAAACUGCCAUUGAUACUAUCGAUCUUGAAUCGUCUAGAGGUAAGCGGAAUAUGUCAUGUAGCGGUGAAAUGCUUAGAUAUGACAUAGAACACCAAUUGCGAAGGCAGCUUACUAUGGAUGUAUUGACACUGAGGCACGAAAGCGUGGGGAUCAAACAGGAUUAGAUACCCUGGUAGUCCACGCCCUAAACGAUGGAUACUCGACAUUUGAGAUAUACUUUAAGUGUCUGAGCGAAAGCAUUAAGUAUCCCACCUGGGAAGUACGAUCGCAAGAUUGAAACUCAAAGAUAGUGCGNGNGAGAGCGACGACGACGACGAGGAGGAGGAG